This is a non-coding RNA of Salvia hispanica, 1154 nucleotides long. The record is from RefSeq and is a predicted model, not a curated record. Lineage: Eukaryota; Viridiplantae; Streptophyta; Magnoliopsida; Lamiales; Lamiaceae.
GGCACGUGUAAUUCAAUGAAUUACUGCAUGUCUUGUAUCCAGGUGGAUUAGCGAAACCAUAUACAAGUAGAUUAAUUAGUAUGCUCACUUAUAUAGUGUAGAAAAAAAAAAAGAGGAGAAAAGGGUGUAAAUUAGAGAAAGAAAGGGGAAGAACGGAAGAGCAGAAAAUAUAUGGCAUAUUCGUGAUAAAUUAGGAGGCGAAAUCAGGAGUUUGAGUAGUUUAUCUGUCGUAAUAAGGGAGUGUCUGGUAAAUUUUUGUGCGGGCGUUAUUGACGCCUUCGGCGCCACAUAUUUGCGCAAGCCGAAUGCCCAAGACUGCCAGGACCUGCUGCGGAUGCACGAUACGGUGCACGUCUUUCCUGGAUUGUUAGGGAGUAUUGAUUGUAUGCACUGGGAGUGGAAGAAUUGUCCUGCAGCGUGGAGAGGCCAAUUCACCAGUGGGUAUAAGGGUACCCACCGACGAUGAUCCUUGAAGCAAUCGUUGACCACGUCUUUGGAUUUGGCAUGCUCACUUUGGCGUGGCGGGGUCCAACAACGACAUCAAUGUGCUGAACUCGUCCAGUCUCUUCACCGAGUAAUGCAAUGGAAACGGUCCGGUUAUCAGCUUCACUGCCAACGGACGACAACAUCAUAUGAGGUACUACUUAGCCGACGGCAUUUACCCGAGAUGGCCAGUUUUCUUGAAGACGAUCUCUUGUCCAACGGGUGCGAGGAGAGAGUUUUUUGCGGCAAAGCAGGAGGCUGCACGGAAGGACGUGGAGCGAGGAUUCGGUGUGCUUCAAGCGCGUUGGGGAAUAGUGAAAGGCCCGGCUCGUUCAUGGUACAGGCAUCAUAUCGCCAAUGUCAUGUACGCGUGCAUCAUCUUGCACAAUAUGAUUAUUCACGACGAAGGUCGUGCAGCUAGCCAGUGGUCCGACGAUGAAGCCGCUCCGAGCGCAGGUCAUGCAGCCCCGUCGGUCGUUUGAGGUUUACCCUAUGGACUCAACGAGAGAUUACAAGCUCAUGAGAGCAUGCGCAAUCAACAUGCUCAUCUUGAUCUCAUGAACGACAUGAUUGAAGAAGUUUGGACACGUAGUGGUCGUUGAAAUUGUACCUCUUUUUUGUAACUUAAAAAAAAAAAAUUAAGUAAUGUAUGUUUUUUGCUAGUUCUUUAA